RNAcentral lists this ribosomal RNA (425 nucleotides) under uncultured bacterium. RNAcentral describes it as "partial 16S ribosomal RNA". It matches the Rfam family "Bacterial small subunit ribosomal RNA", at positions 354 to 796 of the family's 1533-position model. The record is from RNAcentral.
GUGGGGAAUCUUGCGCAAUGGGCGAAAGCCUGACGCAGCCAUGCCGCGUGAAUGAUGAAGGUCUUAGGAUUGUAAAAUUCUUUCACCGGGGACGAUAAUGACGGUACCCGGAGAAGAAGCCCCGGCUAACUUCGUGCCAGCAGCCGCGGUAAUACGAAGGGGGCUAGCGUUGCUCGGAAUUACUGGGCGUAAAGGGCGCGUAGGCGGACAGUUAAGUUGGGGGUGAAAGCCCGGGGCUCAACCUCGGAACUGCCUUCAAUACUGGCUGUCUUGAGUAUGAGAGAGGUGUGUGGAACUCCGAGUGUAGAGGUGAAAUUCGUAGAUAUUCGGAAGAACACCAGUGGCGAAGGCGACACACUGGCUCAUUACUGACGCUGAGGCGCGAAAGCGUGGGGAGCAAACAGGAUUAGAUACCCGAGUAGUCC